Molecule: non-coding RNA, 1483 nt
Organism: Anas platyrhynchos (mallard)
Lineage: Eukaryota; Metazoa; Chordata; Aves; Anseriformes; Anatidae
Source: RefSeq, a predicted model, not a curated record
CCUCAGCAGCAGCACACCAGACUCCUGCUUGCAUAGCCCACUACUAAGUGCAGUGGCAGAGGAGAAAGCUGUUCUGCAGCUGGGUGAGCCCAGAAUGGCCUGCUUUGUUUAUGCCUCAUCCCUGUCUUUUCAGGAUGACUCUGACUACAGCAUCUCCUUGAUUCAGAAGGACACUGCAGAGAGAGAGUGGGGCUGGAAAGAUGAAAAUACACUGAAUAAUAAUCCUGGAAGAAGCAAUUUAGAACUUCCCAGCUGCAGGACAACCUUAAAGACCUGAUUUCUCUAUUGAGUUUGAAUCUACUGAAAAAGUGAAUAGGAGCUAUAGCAGAUCCUUGAAAAACUAUGAUUCAGUGUGGUGUGAAGCAUAAAAUUAAUGUAGAACUAUCAUACCCAUAAAAUUCUUCGUGGAGAAAUAGCAAGCAGCUUUUUCACUGUCCUUACUUCACCAGCAGGAUAUGAAACAUGGAAACACUUCCCUUAAAAACUGAACAAAGGACCACCGGAUGCCCAAAUGACAUUGCCAACCAAGAUUCUCUUGAGAGAAUUUCUCAGACAGGAAUGAUCUCCAAGGAAGUGGACAAGGAAGUCUCAACCACCUUGUUCUCUGCAGUUUUCAGUUCAGUUAAGCUCUGGGAAUUGCAGGUACAAGCUUAAAAGAACACCCACUUUAAAGACUAAGGGAGAUGCAAGUUUUGGUUUUGGCAAAGAAUCAACCAAGAAUUGCAACAGAGAAUUUAAGUUUAAGGCAAAAAUUGAGCCAAGGUAGGCAUCAAGUAGGUAUUUACUUUCAAAAUACUUAUACAACCUAAUGAACCAGAACUCUGUCUACACCAUAGAUUUGGAAUUGCAGUCUUCAUUGCAGUUUUGCAAAAGUACAUCUUUGGUGGUAUGCUUGAUGGUCAGGUUGUGAUUCCAACUAUUCUGGCAAAAACUCAUUAAGCGUCAGCGAAUGACAGGGGAAUGAGAGGCAAUGAUGAGCUAGUAAAGGCAAGAUAUAUUUUCAUUCUCUGUGUAAACAGAAUUGCAAUUGUCAUUUCAGUGCUUAUGUAUCAAUGACAGCUGGUCUAUUAGGAGAGCAUUUUAUAUCUGUAUACUGUAACUUUGUGGGCAUGCAGGCGGUGGGUAACAUACAGCAAGUAUCAAAUGGAUAAAGAUUGUAUUUGGCCGGGUAAGAUACAGAAGCCUGGCAGAGGGGCUCUUGGUGCCACAACACAGCAAGCUCUGUGCAUCUUGUUGGAUUAAAGACUAGAUUUGUGUCUUAGCCAAUAUAAUGUCAUGUUGAGUUAUGUAAAUCCCAUCACAGAAAUGCAAACACAAUGCAGCAGCAGCAUUCUUUGGCAUGGGCUGUUCAGCUGUUUUCCUCAAACUGAUUUGAUGUCUUGCUACAGAUUGUUUUUCCCUUGCAGCGCAACCAUACUGUUAGUUAAUUCCUUUUUUUUUUUAUUAUUAGCAUUAUUAUUUUUUUCUGACUUAUUGUGAUGUA